UGGGGAAUUUUGGACAAUGGGCGCAAGCCUGAUUCAGCAAUGCCGCGUGCAGGAUGAGGCCUUCGGGUUGUAAACUGCUUUUGUACGGAGCGAAAAGGUCUGCCCUAAUACGGUGGGCUCAUGACGGUACCGUAAGAAUAAGCACCGGCUAACUACGUGCCAGCAGCCGCGGUAAUACGUAGGGUGCGAGCGUUAAUCGGAAUUACUGGGCGUAAAGCGUGCGCAGGCGGUUAUAUAAGACAGAUGUGAAAUCCCCGGGCUCAACCUGGGACCUGCAUUUGUGACUGCAUAGCUAGAGUACGGUAGAGGGGGAUGGAAUUCCGCGUGUAGCAGUGAAAUGCGUAGAUAUGCGGAGGAACACCGAUGGCGAAGGCAAUCCCCUGGACCUGUACUGACGCUCAUGCACGAAAGCGUGGGGAGCAAACA
This 426-nucleotide ribosomal RNA is filed under the name uncultured bacterium. RNAcentral describes it as "bacterial SSU rRNA". It matches the Rfam family "Bacterial small subunit ribosomal RNA", at positions 355 to 774 of the family's 1533-position model. The record is from RNAcentral.